Molecule: long non-coding RNA, 1164 nt
Filed under: Homo sapiens (human)
Lineage: Eukaryota; Metazoa; Chordata; Mammalia; Primates; Hominidae
Description: HSALNT0364106
Source: RNAcentral
CCCGUGCCUCUCCCUCCACACCUCCCCGCAACUGAGGGAGCCGGCUCCGGCCUCGGCCAGCCCAGAAAGGGGCUCACACAGUGCAGGGCCGGGCUGAAGGGCUCCUUAAGGGCGGCCAGAGUUGGCGCCAAGGCUGAGGAGGUGCCCAGAGCGAGCGAGGGCUGCCAGGGCUGCUAGCAGGCUGUCACCUCUCAAUAGCAGUUUUGUAUAUGGGAUCUAGCCCCUCCCUAAGAGGUUGAUUCUAAGGAAGCCAACAGCCGUGUUGUGAGUACCCAAUGGAAAGUCUGUUGUGGCAGAAAACUGAUGUCUCCAGCCAACAGCACUGAGGCCCUGAGACCUGCCAACUGUCAUGUUACAUCUCAAGGAGAAGGAUUGCCAGAUCAAAAGUCUUGCAGUUAACCAGGCGUGGUGGCAGAUACCUGUAAUCCCAGCUAUUCGGGAGGCUGAGGCAGGAGAAUCGCUUGUACCCGGGAGGCAGAGGUUGCAGUGAGCUGAGACCGCGCCAUUGACUCCUGCCUGAUGACAAGAGAGAAUCUACGUCUCAACAACAACAACACGCUUGGGCACUGUAUUAACUCCAUAAUCGCCUCUGUGCUCUUUCCCCUGUGGACAAUAACUACCAUUUCAUCCUGGACACCCAUUGUUUGCCUGGACCACACCUUGUUAUGACCAUAACCCUCAGUCAGACUCAACCUUCCUUCAAGAUCUGCAGAUCUAAAUUUUAUUGGGAACAGCUAGUUUGACAAGCAUAGACCAGAUGUCCAGUUGUCAUUCAUUCAGCAGGAGCAGCAAGAUUCAAUCAUGUUUUUAUUAUAUUAUUUCCUGAAACUUGUGGCUGUAACAAUGAAGUUUGAGGAUUGGUCUGUGUAAGUAUGGCAGAAGUGAUGUUAAGUCGCUUAUGAGAUUAGGGUAUAAAAGACUAAGGCUUCCAUGCUUCCAUCUUGGUCUCUGUCUCUCAGAGAACAGUCAUGUGAAUGAUUCUUCUUGAAAGUAAAUCUUCCAGCCCCAGUCCAGUAUUCAAAUGAUCCAGCAACAUUGCAACUUAUGAGAGACCUUGAGCCAUCCAGGUAACAUGCUUCCAAAUCCUGACCCUUAAAACCUGUAAAAUAAUAAAUGUGGUUUUAAACUCUUAAGUAAUUUGUUACAUAGUAAUAAAUAGCUAAU